This is a long non-coding RNA of Homo sapiens (human), 1642 nucleotides long. Ensembl annotates it as long intergenic non-protein coding RNA 1010. The record is from Ensembl. NCBI's taxonomy places the organism in Eukaryota, Metazoa, Chordata, Mammalia, Primates, Hominidae.
ACACAAGGAAAGUCUGAGGCAGACUAUGGAGGAAGACGAGCUGGGAGAGAAAGGCUGGAGUGCAGUGGUGCACACGCCUCACACUGUGACACAGCGGGAGAGCCCAGAGCGACAGCUGUUGGAAUGACUGCACUCUUCCUGCUCAAGUCUGACCUUUCCAAGCCUUUGUCCUAUGUCUGGAGACUUCUUGGAAGCUGGAGCACACAAAUAGCUACAGCAAACUUGAGGAAUGGGCAUGAAUAGACUGGCUUCGGGGAACCUGCCAGCUUGGCCGUGUGGCCAAGGUAAUAGGCAAGCCAAGGCAGAGCUAGAGCUCAGAGCUGGAGGGGAAAUUAAAGCAGCAAAUGUAGAAACAUUAAGCCUGAAGAGGCGACGACGUUGAAUUCUAAAAUGCAGGCCAAAGCUCAGACUGCAAGCUGUCUGGCUGCUCCGGGUGUGCCCAGAAGUCAAAGUCCAGCAGGGGCAAAGGUGGAGGUGUGGUCCUGCACGUGGGGUGUUGGGGGGAUGUGGAAGAGGAGGUGCUUUAAGAUCCAGAGAUUCCAGCUGCCCUGGUGCACCCUUGGAAGAAUAAAAGGCUAGGAACUGGACAAGUCAGGCUCGAGUCCAAGCUGCCUGAGGAAUCGGGGAAAGAAUGGAGCUCAGAGUGGGAGGUCAGGGCAGUAUUUAAAAAUCCAGGAUAGCAGCAAAGCUGGCGGUGGCCCCUGACUCUGGUAAGGGCAGCCUGCAGCACCAUGCCAAGGGGGGCCUGACUGAUCAUGCCCUGCAUUUGCAAACAAGGAUUAGUAGGGUAUGAGUAGGAUUCUGCUGGUGCCUGGGAAGGCAGUGCCAUCUACAACUUUACAAAGUUUUAACAAAGGCCUGAAGGACACAACCUUCCCCAAAGUCCUGACGUCGCUGUUUGCUGGCAACAAAUAGAGUCAAAAGAAGAGAGGCACAGAAUGUGCCAGGGGUGUGCUGCGUACAGCCCCGAUGACCACAAGGCCUUCUUGGGUCAAGUUCUGCCAUCUCUGGUUAAGAUGGGCUCACCCUCUAGGACCCUGAUUGAGUCCUCGGACCACCAAGAGUGCCCCACCAAGAGCCUCCCUCUUCUGGUGACUCGUGCCUGCUUCCCGUGGAGAGCUCCAGAAGGGAGGAAACUGUGAGGAGGUGGAGAACGUGGCAGGGAUCCUAACUUUCUUACUGAAGGAAGUUCUUCACAAGUACCCAUCUGCCUUCAGGGAAGAAAACAUAACUCAUUUUGGUCUUUCAAAUUCAGUUCUCAAAACCAAAUCCUGUUGUCAGCAAUCUGUGUCCCAACGCCUUCUUCAGCAACAGCAUUUUCCCUGUGGAAUUAGUUUCCAAUGUUCUUUCUUAAAUAAACCACUGAAGAUUAAAAGGAAUCCAGAUACCCACCACAUUUUGUUUCCUUAAUGAGUAAUUAUCACAUUUCUUUGGCUACUUAAAUGCAUUCUCUGAGUCAGGUAAAGGAGAUCGUAAUAGUUAAUCAACAAGAAGUAAUUCUUGGGUACUUAACAAUAGUCUAAGCACUUAAUCAUACUUAAAAUUGACUAUUAAUGAACCUUAUAAACCAUUUUGCAAUUCUGAAAGUGAAUUUCUCUGCAGGCUUAGAGAUUACUAAGCCAUUUAGAUCUUACCAAACAAA